AUUGAACGCUGGCGGCAUGCUUUACACAUGCAAGUCGAACGGCAGCGCGGGCUUCGGCCUGGCGGCGAGUGGCGAACGGGUGAGUAAUGCAUCGGAACGUGCCCAGUAGUGGGGGAUAGCCCGGCGAAAGCCGGAUUAAUACCGCAUACGACCUGAGGGUGAAAGCGGGGGACCGAAAGGCCUCGCGCUAUUGGAGCGGCCGAUGUCGGAUUAGCUAGUUGGUGGGGUAAAGGCUUACCAAGGCGACGAUCCGUAGCUGGUCUGAGAGGACGACCAGCCACACUGGGACUGAGACACGGACCAGACUCCUACGGGAGGCAGCAGUGGGGAAUGUUGGACAAUGGGGGCAACCCUGAUCCAGCCAUGCCGCGUGCGAGAAGAAGGCCUUCGGGUUGUAAACCGCUUUUGUUCGGGAAGAAAUCCUCUGGGCUAAUACCCCGGGGGGAUGACGGUACCGGAAGAAUAAGCACCGGCUAACUACGUG
Molecule: ribosomal RNA, 484 nt
Filed under: uncultured bacterium
Lineage: Bacteria
Description: partial 16S ribosomal RNA
Rfam family: Bacterial small subunit ribosomal RNA
Source: RNAcentral